UACGGUGGGGGCAAGCGUUGUUCGGAAUUACUGGGCGUAAAGGGCUCGUAGGCGGCCAACUAAGUCACACGUGAAAUCCCCAGGCUUAACCUGGGAACUGCGUGUGAUACUGGAUGGCUUGAAUCCGGGAGAGGGAUGCAGAAUUCCAGGUGUAGCGGUGAAAUGCGUAGAUAUCUGGAGGAAUACCGGUGGCGAAGGCGGCAUCCUGGACCGGCAUUGACGCUGAGGAGCGGAAGCCAGGGGAGCAAACGGG
Molecule: ribosomal RNA, 253 nt
Filed under: uncultured bacterium
Lineage: Bacteria
Description: partial 16S ribosomal RNA
Rfam family: Bacterial small subunit ribosomal RNA
Source: RNAcentral